GAAAUGCGAUAAGUAGUGUGAAUUGCAGAAUUCAGUGAAUCAUCGAAUCUUUGAACGCACAUUGCGCCCCUUGGUAUUCCAUGGGGCAUGCCUGUUCGAGCGUCAAUUGUACCUUCAAGCUUUGCUUGGUGUUGGGUGUUUGUCUCGCCUCUGCGUGUAGACUCGCCUCAAAACAAUUGGCAGCCGGCGUAUUGAUUUCGGAGCGCAGUACAUCUCGCGCUUUGCACUCAUAACGACGACGUCCAAAAGUACAUUUUUACACUCUUGACCUCGGAUCAGGUAGGGAUACCCGCUGAACUUAAGC
This 304-nucleotide unclassified non-coding RNA is filed under the name plant metagenome. RNAcentral describes it as "partial contains 5.8S ribosomal RNA, internal transcribed spacer 2, and large subunit ribosomal RNA". The stretch from base 1 to 105 matches the Rfam family "5.8S ribosomal RNA", at positions 50 to 154 of the family's 154-position model. The record is from RNAcentral.